This 1602-nucleotide long non-coding RNA is filed under the name Triticum aestivum (bread wheat). RNAcentral describes it as "long non-coding RNA (TAES_LNC018592)". Lineage: Eukaryota; Viridiplantae; Streptophyta; Magnoliopsida; Poales; Poaceae. The record is from RNAcentral.
AGUAAUGGGUCCCAAUUGUCAGAUUUUUCAUGGCAGUGGUUCCACAUCGCUUUUUCAUAGCUUAUUAAUAAGCAGUAUAUAUCAAACAGAAAGAAGAGAGAAGCAUAUGAAAAUCUUCAAAUAACAACCAAAAUAGGUUUAUUACAAUACAUUCUGUACGGAACAGAACAUAUGGAACUCCAUACACUCGUUUACAUCACAACAACCAGUUUAACCGUCAAAUAUUGCAUGCCCAGGAACUUCAAACUUCACCUAGAUAACCAUACAAUAUUCCACACAAUCACAAAUAUUGCGAUCGACAAAUAAAACGCUCUGCCAGUGUAAAGCUAGCUACUCUUGGAUACCACGGAACAUGCUCUUCAACAUAGGAAGAAGUCAUCAACGGUGUUCUACCAACAACACAAGCUCCAUUCACCUACAAGAAAAGAAUGGAAUAUCAAGUACUUGGAUCGUUCAAGCAGAUUACAACCAACAUAUAUAUGUACAUCAGGAAAUAUGAUGGAGCAAAUCUGACAACAAAUACAUUAAGUAAACAGCCCAACCGAUGAGUGAUGACGACAAGCAAAGAGUAUAAACCCAGGUUUGGACAUAAAUAGUGUCAACUCAAGCAGAACAUAAUAAGGCAGUAAACACGUGGGCAUUUUCUCUUUGACCCUCUUCAGAUCAAAUCAUCUACAUAGCUUCAAUUUUCUUUGUGAUUUACAGCAAAGAGCAAAACUAAGGAGAGCAAGUAGAGCAAAGCAUAGUUGAUGGUGGAGUGGUGAAUUACUUUGAUGGCGUACUUGAUGGUGAUGCCGCAAACAACAUUUAGAGCUAGAAUGAGAACUAAUAUACUAUAAGCAUACAAAAGAAAAUAAUUUCAGCAAAAUCAAAACCGGUGAUGAAAACUAAAUAAUAGUGCAGCAGAUUGGCUCUAGCAUGGAGGAACAUCACCAAAUUAAACAAGAUGGGUUUUCAAGUUUUUAGACAAGUAUUCAUGAUUACAGUUUGUUAUCGUCGUCCAAAUUCACGAACAUGUAUAAAAUUAAUUAAUACAUCUGAAUGUGCUAGCACUGAAGCAAACAUGAGGCCAUGAAGUAUCAGGCCAACCAUGAUUUACAUAUUUACCAAUGAACAAACAUGAUACAUGCAUCAAGCAUCAAGCAUUAGGCGAUGAAGCAUCUGUCCCAUUUGUUCAACAAGACGAGUACAUACCAGACUCCAGGUUGAUGCGAUGGAUGGGACUGUACUUGAACAUCUGGUCCAGGGACAAGCUUGCUAAUCCAAAUCGAACAAACAAAUUCAUUAGGAGGAGAUAGGAGAGACAAGGAAGAAAUGAAGUAAACAUACAUACAUGUCUAUAUAUAAGCAGCAGAAGCAAGUAAUAUAAAUACAUCCGCUUUCUUCCUCUACAACACUAACUACAGCAACAUCAAACAUAGUACACAAGGAGCAGCAGCAGCAAGCCGAUAAAGAAAGCUCAAGAUUUGUGUCUUUUGCAAGUUUUAGCACACUAGUACAUGCGUUAAAAUGGAAGCACCGCUACUGGGUUGCAACAGCCAACAAAAUAAAAAAAUCUAUACACACGCACAAAAUUAAGCAAUGGUUCCGUCAGUGUUGUAG